GGGCGGAUGGUUUAGUGGUAUAAUUUUCCCUUAGCAUCGUGGAGCCUCCUGGUUCUCACAGACCGCAUGGGAAAGGUCCGGGGUUCGAUUCCCCGUUCGUCCA
This 103-nucleotide transfer RNA is filed under the name Trichoderma reesei QM6a. It matches the Rfam family "tRNA". From Rfam's summary of the family: Transfer RNA (tRNA) molecules are approximately 80 nucleotides in length. RNAcentral also lists the same sequence under 1 other name. Lineage: Eukaryota; Fungi; Ascomycota; Sordariomycetes; Hypocreales; Hypocreaceae. The record is from Rfam by way of RNAcentral.